This 964-nucleotide ribosomal RNA is filed under the name Aspicilia vagans. RNAcentral describes it as "bacterial SSU rRNA". It matches the Rfam family "Eukaryotic small subunit ribosomal RNA", at positions 60 to 877 of the family's 1831-position model. The record is from RNAcentral. Lineage: Eukaryota; Fungi; Ascomycota; Lecanoromycetes; Pertusariales; Megasporaceae.
UGAUGUUGGKGGGCGGUUCGGGAUCGACRGKGGGGUUUACGCCCCGCAUCAUUGUCAAAAUGCGUAAACAUCAUGCUUCGGUGUGAUGAAUCCGCAGCCGGGGCCCAUUCCGGGGACCGGKGCAACGACUAAAACACAUAUGGCCGGUAGGGCACGCACGCUCGCCGGUUAARAUAUAGUCUCAUCCCCCGGAGCGAUCCGGGGGGCGUAGKGGCAUUAAAUCAGUUAUCGUUUAUUUGAUAGUACCUAUCUACAUGGAUAACCGKGGUAAUUCUAGAGCUAAUACAUGCUAAAAACCCCRACUUCGGAAGGGGUGUAUUUAUUARAUAAAAAACCAAKGCCCUUCGGGGCUCCGKGGKGAUUCAUAAUAACUUAACGAAUCGCAUGGCCUUGCGCCGGCRAUGGUUCAUUCAAAUUUCUGCCCUAUCAACUUUCGAUGGUAGGAUAGUGGCCUACCAUGGUGGCAACGGGUAACGGGRAAUUAGGGUUCGAUUCCGGARAGGGAGCCUGAGAAACGGCUACCACAUCCAAGGAAGGCAGCAGGCGCGCAAAUUACCCAAUCCCGACACGGGGAGGUAGUGACAAUAAAUACUGAUACARAGCUCUUUUGGGUUUUGUAAUUGGAAUGAGUACAAUUUAAAUCUCUUAACGAGGAACAAUUGGAGGGCAAGUCUGGUGCCAGCAGCCGCGGUAAUUCCAGCUCCAAUAGCGUAUAUUAAAGUUGUUGCAGUUAAAAAGCUCGUAGUUGAACCUUGGGCCUGGCUGACCGGUCCGCCUCACCGCGUGCACUGGUUCGGCCGGGCCUUUCUUUCUGGGGAACCGCAUGCCCUUCACUGGGUGUGUCGGCGAAUCAGGACUUUUACUUUGAAAAAUUAGAGUGUUCAAAGCAGGCCUAUGCUCGAUACAUUAGCAUGRAUAUAGAUAGGACGUGUGUUCUAUUUUGUGGUUCUAGGACCGCCGUAUR